RNAcentral lists this ribosomal RNA (434 nucleotides) under uncultured Lachnospiraceae bacterium. RNAcentral's name for it is "bacterial SSU rRNA". It matches the Rfam family "Bacterial small subunit ribosomal RNA", at positions 341 to 792 of the family's 1533-position model. Lineage: Bacteria; Bacillati; Bacillota; Clostridia; Lachnospirales; Lachnospiraceae. The record is from RNAcentral.
ACGGGAGGCAGCAGUGGGGAAUAUUGGACAAUGGGGGAAACCCUGAUCCAGCGACGCCGCGUGAGUGAAGAAGUAUUUCGGUAUGUAAAGCUCUAUCAGCAAGGAAGAAAAUGACGGUACCUGACUAAGAAGCACCGGCUAAAUACGUGCCAGCAGCCGCGGUAAUACGUAUGGUGCAAGCGUUAUCCGGAUUUACUGGGUGUAAAGGGAGCGUAGACGGAUGGCUAAGUCUGAUGUGAAAGGUGAGGGCUCAACCCUUAAACUGCAUUGGAAACUGGUCAUCUAGAGUGUCGGAGAGGUAAGUGGAAUUCCUAGUGUAGCGGUGAAAUGCGUAGAUAUUAGGAGGAACACCAGUGGCGAAGGCGGCUUACUGGACGAUAACUGACGUUGAGGCUCGAAAGCGUGGGGAGCAAACAGGAUUAGAUACCCUGGUA